Molecule: ribosomal RNA, 494 nt
Filed under: uncultured bacterium
Lineage: Bacteria
Description: partial 16S ribosomal RNA
Rfam family: Bacterial small subunit ribosomal RNA
Source: RNAcentral
GAUGAACGCUGGCGGCGUGCCUAACACAUGCAAGUCGAACGGAGUUAUUAUUAUGAAGUUUUCGGAUGGAUUAAUAAUAACUUAGUGGCGGACGGGUGAGUAACGCGUGGGUAACCUGCCUCAUACAGGGGGAUAACAGUUGGAAACGGCUGCUAAAACCGCAUAACAUUGCGAUGUCGCAUGACAAUGCAAUUAAAUAUUUAUAGGUAUGAGAUGGGCCCGCGUCUGAUUAGCUAGUUGGUGGGGUAAUGGCCUACCAAGGCGACGAUCAGUAGCCGGCUUGAGAGAGUGACCGUCCACAUUGGGACUGAGACACGGCCGAAACUCCUACGGGAGGCAGCAGUGGGGAAUAUUGCACAAUGGGGGAAACCCUGAUGCAGCGACGCCGCGUGAGUGAAGAAGUAUUUCGGUAUGUAAAGCUCUAUCAGCAGGGAAGAAAAUGACGGUACCUGACUAAGAAGCCCCGGCUAACUACGUGCCAGCCGCCGCCGUAA